This 282-nucleotide long non-coding RNA is filed under the name Brassica rapa (field mustard). RNAcentral's name for it is "long non-coding RNA (BRAP_LNC008472)". The record is from RNAcentral. Lineage: Eukaryota; Viridiplantae; Streptophyta; Magnoliopsida; Brassicales; Brassicaceae.
CAAGCAACUUAGACAAUUUCUAAGGGUUAGGAGGUUUGCUUACAAACAAGAGAUCCGAGCUGAUCUCUUGAACCUCCAUGGGCACGGUUCACUUGAACUUGGCAGGUUUGAGGCUUGGAUUCAAUAUCCAACACCUCUCCUUGGUGUGCCCAUCCCUCUUGCAAUGUUCACACUUCAGACCUCUCCUAUCCCCCUUCUUGUAAGGCGCCUUGUUGGGCUGAGAGCUUCUUUCAGCUUGAGAAGCAAAGGAGAGUGUUUCCUUUGUUCCAAACAACCCGAUUG